UACAGAGGGUGCAAGCGUUAAUCGGAAUUACUGGGCGUAAAGGGUGCGUAGGUGGUUAGAUAAGUUAGGUGUGAAAGUCCUGGGCUUAACCUGGGGAUUGCGCCUAAUACUGUUUAACUGGAGUACUGUAGAGGAAGGUGGAAUUUCCAGUGUAGCGGUGAAAUGCGUAGAUAUUGGAAGGAACAUCAGUGGCGAAGGCGACCUUCUGGACAGAUACUGACACUGAGGCACGAAAGCGUGGGGAGCAAACAGGAUUAGAUACCCUGGUAGUCCACGCCGUAAACGAUGAAGACUGGCUGUUGGGAACCUACGGGUUUUUAGUAGCGAAGCUAACGCGUUAAGUCUUCCGCCUGGGGAGUACGGCCGCAAGGCUAAA
RNAcentral lists this ribosomal RNA (376 nucleotides) under uncultured bacterium. RNAcentral describes it as "bacterial SSU rRNA". It matches the Rfam family "Bacterial small subunit ribosomal RNA", at positions 524 to 898 of the family's 1533-position model. The record is from RNAcentral.